This 402-nucleotide ribosomal RNA is filed under the name uncultured prokaryote. Its description in RNAcentral is "bacterial SSU rRNA". It matches the Rfam family "Bacterial small subunit ribosomal RNA", at positions 355 to 774 of the family's 1533-position model. The record is from RNAcentral.
UGGGGAAUAUUGGACAAUGGGCGAAAGCCUGAUCCAGCAAUGCCGCGUGAGUGAAGAAGGCCUUAGGGUUGUAAAGCUCUUUCGCCUGCGACGAUGAUGACGGUAGCAGGAGAAGAAGCCCCGGCUAAUUCCGUGCCAGCAGCCGCGGUAAUACGGAAGGGGCUAGCGUUGUUCGGAAUUACUGGGCGUAAAGCGCGCGUAGGCGGCUUGGCAAGUGAGGCGUGAAAGUCCUGGGCCCAACCUGGGGACGGCGCUUCAGACUGUUUGGCUUGAGUCCGGAAGAGGGUGGUGGAAUUCCGAGUGUAGAGGUGAAAUUCGUAGAUAUUCGGAGGAACACCGGUGGCGAAGGCGGCCACCUGGUCCGGAACUGACGCUGAAGUGCGAAAGCGUGGGGAGCAAACA